GACGAACGCUGGCGGCGUGCCUAACACAUGCAAGUCGAACGGAAAGGCCCUGCUCUUUUUGCGUGCUCGAGUGGCGAACGGGUGAGUAACACGUGAGUAACCUGCCCUUGACUUAGGGAUAACUUCAGGAAACUGGGGCUAAUACCGGAUAGGAGCUCCUGCUGCCUGGUGGGGGUUGGAAAGUUUCGGCGGUUGGGGAUGGACUCGCGGCUUAUCAGCUUGUUGGUGGGGUAGUGGCUUACCAAGGCUUUGACGGGUAGCCGGCCUGAGAGGGUGACCGGCGACAUUGGGACUGAGAGACGGCCCAGACUCCUACGGGAGGCAGCAGUGGGGAAUAUUGCACAAUGAGCGGAAGCCUGAGGCAGCAGCGCCGCGUGCGGGAUGACGGCCUGCGGGUGGUAAACCGCUUUCGCCUGUGACGAAGCGUGAGUGACGGUAAUGGGUAAAGAAGCACCGGCUAACUACGUG
This 468-nucleotide ribosomal RNA is filed under the name uncultured bacterium. RNAcentral describes it as "partial 16S ribosomal RNA". It matches the Rfam family "Bacterial small subunit ribosomal RNA", at positions 28 to 507 of the family's 1533-position model. The record is from RNAcentral.